ACUCCUACGGGAGGCAGCAGUGGGGAAUCUUGCGCAAUGGGCGAAAGCCUGACGCAGCCAUGCCGCGUGAAUGAUGAAGGUCUUAGGAUUGUAAAAUUCUUUCACCGGGGACGAUAAUGACGGUACCCGGAGAAGAAGCCCCGGCUAACUUCGUGCCAGCAGCCGCGGUAAUACGAAGGGGGCUAGCGUUGCUCGGAAUUACUGGGGCGUAAAGGGGCGCGUAGGCGGAUCGUUAAGUCAGAGGUGAAAUCCCAGGGGCUCAACCCUGGAACUGCCUUUUGAUACUGGCGAUCUUGAGUAUGAGAGAGGUAUGUGGAACUCCGAGUGUAGAGGUGAAAUUCGUAGAUAUUCGGAAGAACACCAGUGGCGAAGGCGACAUACUGGCUCAUUACUGACGCUGAGGCGCGAAAGCGUGGGGAGCAAACAGGAUUAGAUACCCU
This 440-nucleotide ribosomal RNA is filed under the name uncultured bacterium. RNAcentral describes it as "bacterial SSU rRNA". It matches the Rfam family "Bacterial small subunit ribosomal RNA", at positions 335 to 788 of the family's 1533-position model. The record is from RNAcentral.